GGGCGGAGCAACUGCUAUGGUAGCCCACUGGGGUCUCACUCCAAGAUACCUGCAGAAUCCAGAUGCUACAGUGCUCCCCCAAAGCCAGCAAUCAAACAAAACUCGGGAAGUGGAAAGCGGUACAGUCCUGUGACAAGAGGUGAAGACAGAAGUGUGGCCUGCAGAGGGCACCACUUACAGCCAUCACAAGCUCAAAGACACAGUGCUUUCAGCAGACUGAGGGAGAAUAAAAGGCUGACCCCUGAAGAUCUGGAGAAGAAGCGAUAUCAAACCAUUGCAGAAUACCAGUUUAUAGCUCCAGGUAAGAAGUCCAUAUCCAAUAGGCAAGUGUCUUACAAGAAGUACGGUAGUUGAUUCUCAAUCAACAUGUAACUUUCUCUUCCCAUAUCAGACAAGCUUUUCUAACCAGCACAGCAGGCUGUAAUCAUCCUUAAAAGCUUUGCAACUAAGUGACAUUACUACAAUAUUCUUAGUGUUUCUUUA
Long non-coding RNA from Trachemys scripta elegans, 483 nucleotides. RefSeq lists it as uncharacterized. The record is from RefSeq and is a predicted model, not a curated record. Lineage: Eukaryota; Metazoa; Chordata; Testudines; Emydidae. The transcript has 3 exons.